Molecule: ribosomal RNA, 468 nt
Filed under: uncultured bacterium
Lineage: Bacteria
Description: partial 16S ribosomal RNA
Rfam family: Bacterial small subunit ribosomal RNA
Source: RNAcentral
GACGAACGCUGGCGGCGCGCCUAACACAUGCAAGUCGAACGGAGUCAAGAGGAGCUUGCUUUUCUUGACUUAGUGGCGAACGGGUGAGUAACGCGUGAGUAACCUGCCCUGGAGUGGGGGACAACAGUUGGAAACGACUGCUAAUACCGCAUAAGCCCACGGAUCUGCAUGGAUCUGCUGGAAAAGGAUUUAUUCGCUCUAGGAUGGACUCGCGUCCAAUUAGCUAGUUGGUGAGGUAACGGCCCACCAAGGCGACGAUUGGUAGCCGGACUGAGAGGUUGAACGGCCACAUUGGGACUGAGACACGGCCCAGACUCCUACGGGAGGCAGCAGUGGGGGAUAUUGCACAAUGGGGGAAACCCUGAUGCAGCGACGCCGCGUGGAGGAAGAAGGUUUUCGGAUUGUAAACUCCUGUCGUUAGGGACGAUAAUGACGGUACCUAACAAGAAAGCACCGGCUAACUACGUG